UUGUGCCAUUGCUCAAGC
RNAcentral lists this microRNA (18 nucleotides) under Prunus persica (peach). Its description in RNAcentral is "ppe-miR8123-3p". The record is from miRBase by way of RNAcentral. Lineage: Eukaryota; Viridiplantae; Streptophyta; Magnoliopsida; Rosales; Rosaceae.